Molecule: unclassified non-coding RNA, 336 nt
Filed under: soil metagenome
Description: partial contains 5.8S ribosomal RNA, internal transcribed spacer 2, and large subunit ribosomal RNA
Rfam family: 5.8S ribosomal RNA (bases 1-120)
Source: RNAcentral
GAUGAAGAACGUAGCGAAAUGCGAUAAGUAAUGUGAAUUGCAGAAUUCAGUGAAUCAUCGAAUCUUUGAACGCACAUUGCGCCCGCCAGUAUUCUGGCGGGCAUGCCUGUUCGAGCGUCAUUUCAACCAUCAAGCCCCCGGCUUGUGUUGGGGACCUGCGGCUGCCGCAGGCCCUGAAAAGCAGUGGCGGGCUCGCUGUCACACCGAGCGUAGUAGCAUACAUCUCGCUCUGGGCGUGCUGCGGGUUCCGGCCGUUAAACCACCUUCAUAACCCAAGGUUGACCUCGGAUCAGGUAGGAAGACCCGCUGAACUUAAGUAUAUCAAUAAGCGGAGGA